GAGGAGAGGAAAAUUUGGUAUGUUGUCGCAGACCCGAUGCAUUGCGCCUCCAUUACAAAUCCUAAAUUCUACUUUUGAUCUAGAGCUCCUACCUACUGGACUUGCUCGGCGUCACGGCCGACGAGGACGUCUACAUCUCCCUCCUCAUGGACUCCGCCGACACUGUCGAGGUCGCCGCCGUGCACACCCACAUCGUCGCCACAGGUGUUGCGCCUGGUCUCCCUCCGCCGUUGCUCGCCUACGUGAGGUGUUCGACGGAAAAUUCCCUUCAACGACGGCAUCACGUGGGCGACCAUGGUGUCUGCAUCCCGCCAGUUAGCGCCCUCCAUAUGCCUGGGUAUGUUGGAUUUGAGGCACUUGGCUUGGAUCUUCCCGAGAGCAGAACACGUACGUACAGCUGCAAGCUAAGCAAGCUGCUGAUUGAUUUUACGCGUAGACGUUGGUCUGAACCUUCUGGCCGGCUACAUAAGCAAGCACUCAGGCAGCUGGAUGGAUUCCGGGCACACAGCUUGCCGUGAACCUUAAAUUGCUGCUCCAACAGGCAGCAAACCAAUCAUUUGAUAUUUAAGGGACAGCAGUCAGCAGGCGCUUUGAGGAAGCACUGGUGUUGACAAAUAAAAGAAUGCUUUAGGUAUACCUAUUUACCAUUUUCAAUUGGUUUGAUGCCAUCCAUAUGUGAUUCACCGACCAAGAAUGGAAAAAUUCCUUGCUAUUAGAAAUUUCUAUGGUGGUGCUUCUUUAGGUUCUGCCUGAAAAAUGUUCCAGUGCCAAUAAUCGGUUAUACUUUGUAAUGGUGAUUCGUAAUUUGGUCUAACUUUCUAAUUAUUAGCUACAGUUUACUUCAGUGGUAAUGCAUGUACGCAAAGGAAGAAUUACUGGCUAUGGAUGAUUACUAUGAGCGUAUGAAAUUAUGAGUUGUGUAGGUUUCUUAAGCUAGAUCGGUUGUUCUAGCUUGUGAUGGUUAAAUUUUUUAUGAAAUAGCAGUACUAGAUUAGUUGUUCUAGCUUCUUUAGGUUGUAACCAAUUGAAGGUAAUUUGAAGAUCGAUCCCACAGCUGAGUAUAUUCCGUUUUUUAUUAACCCGCAACAGAGUGUGUAUAGGAAAAUAUACUUUUGUGAAUUGUUAGUGCUCGCUGUCCUUACUGUACUGUAUCAGGCUGUUCAUGUUCAAAUUCUUCAGCGUUUUGUACACAUGAAAGGUACUUCUGUAAAUCAGUUUUUCAAAUUGGCAUCGAUAAGAUGCAUAUAGAUGCAUGUAUCCUUCUAAAAAAUUAACACCAAUGUUUCACUUGUUUUGUGAGAUUGUUCCUUUUUCUUUUGGACAGCUUUUGGAGAUUUUAAGAUAGCUUUUUCUGUGGGCAAGCUGGACCUGAUACUCAAAGGACCUUAAGUUCUAACCAAAGAUGACAAUGUGGAUGGUCACAUUUCAAAGUGUUUUUUCUUUCUCAGACACAUGUAAG
Molecule: non-coding RNA, 1459 nt
Organism: Triticum urartu
Lineage: Eukaryota; Viridiplantae; Streptophyta; Magnoliopsida; Poales; Poaceae
Source: RefSeq, a predicted model, not a curated record